This 814-nucleotide long non-coding RNA is filed under the name Salmo salar (Atlantic salmon). RNAcentral's name for it is "lncRNA (ENSSSAG00000115893.1)". The record is from RNAcentral. Lineage: Eukaryota; Metazoa; Chordata; Actinopteri; Salmoniformes; Salmonidae.
AGAGCUGGGGCUACUGCUGGAAUUAGCUGGCAGGGAACACUCACCUUGAUUAAUCAGAAGAGGUUUGUUAGCAGUAUGCUCUUUUUCGUCACUCAUCUCGAGGCUCGUCUUCAACACAUUUACUGACUAAUUCAAGUCUCUCCGUCAAUCAGAAGCAAGGAUGGUUCUGUGCCAUGUACCGGAUUAUAACUACUUCUCCAAUAGUGCUUAUUGGAGGUGCAGGUGCAUUUGAUAAUUUUCCGACCUCUAAUCGAGAGGCAUCGUUGGAGUCGUGUGAUAAGACGAGCGGAUCGGAAACCCAUUGACAACUCUCGGGUUGGCAGCUGCCAUUUUCUGUUGGGAAAGAGAGACGACCCUGUAUUUACCAGAAAGGGUAGCUCAUCCACCAUGUUAGAAGAGGAAGAUCCAGACACAUCCACCUUGGCAGAAGAGGUAGUAGAUCCAGGCCCUUGGCCGCUGUGUCUGCACACUUGCAGAAUGUUCUCACUGAGGUGCGUCUUGGGAAACAUUAGCGCAGUUGAAGGUUCUACAGGAGAAUCAGCUGUCUGAUAAAGUACUUAGGAUGGAAAUAGGACUUCCUGACAGACAUGUUCAGCAUUGUUGUUGAAUACUUGGAACGAUACAAGGACCGCGAUUAUACUUUGCCAAGUGGAGGGUCGAGAUGCUAUCAUUUGAGGAUCACGUACGUGUUUAUGGCGCUUAUGAAGUUCCGUCACAGCUACACCAAUUUGCACCUGGUUCAACUAUUCCAUUGUAGUGCAAGCACUAUCAGCAAUGUUACCAUCACUUUAAUUCACGUGAUCCACAAACUUAC